This 71-nucleotide transfer RNA is filed under the name Mycobacterium phage Bongo. It matches the Rfam family "tRNA". From Rfam's summary of the family: Transfer RNA (tRNA) molecules are approximately 80 nucleotides in length. Lineage: Duplodnaviria; Heunggongvirae; Uroviricota; Caudoviricetes; Vilmaviridae. The record is from Rfam by way of RNAcentral. RNAcentral also lists the same sequence under 1 other name.
UGGCCUGUCGGUUAACGGCAAACCAGCGCCCUGUUAAGGCGUGACUCCUGGUUCGAAUCCAGGUAGGCCAG